CCAAAAUCAAUACUUUGAGAGUAUAAAAAAAGGGGAAAAAUAGUAGUAGUAUUGGAAAAAGUGACUAGCCCAAUAAAUAAACAUCGAAUUUAUCCGUGGCUCAGUCCUACUCCUUCCUGACAUAACAUGAGCAUGUGGAAGGCUUAACCCAUUGACUCUUGUAGUUGCUUGAGAUCAAGGUUUACCGAACUGGUACCGGGAUCUAUAUCGGUCAGCGUUCGGUUCGGUACGGUACCGACGCAUGGUAUGGUAGGGCGUGUUGGUUCUAAUUGACACACCCAUUUUUUUGGAGUAUUUCAAGUUGAUUUAAUUGAGAUAUCACUUUUUUUGAACUUUCUCAAUAUUUGUAAGUCUAAUUUGUUUUUUUUUAUGUUUCUUAAUGUUUCUAUGAUUUUAGUUUAACCUAAAUGAUGCAUCUUAUUGUUUUAAAAUAUUACAAAUUAUAAAAUGAUUAUCUCACCGUUGCAUGCUAUAAGAAGCAACAUGAAAUAUCCUCAAAUUAAGUAGUAAGAUAAAAAUUAUAAAAUAAUAUAAUCAAUUACAUACAUUUAAAGGACAACAUACAUACUGAUAUCAAAAAUUGGGUCGAGUAGCGAUGUCUCUCGUAGAUAUUCGGAUUAUCAGUAUAGUCAGGAGGCACAUUAGCUCACCCCUCUAACCAAGCGACAUUGUAGUCUUGUAUAUUCAUCUCAUAACGAACGCGUUCCGGAUUAUAAGCAGUCUUGAAUCUCUCGCUGAAGCUGUGACUCUGAGAGGUGUGUCCUCUAGCUGAUAAACUGGCUGAUAAAACGAUUGUGAAGGGCCCAUCCGAAUAAAGCCGACAACAAAAAUCUAUCCGUAAGAUGCUCCGAGCUGAAUUAGGUAGUAGUCACCGAAAGAUACCUCAGAUGCAUCAUAUCUAUAUCCAUAUCCGUAUGGGUCAUAGGCUGCCUGUGGCUGUAGAUAAUAGGAUUCAGUAUACGACUCGAAAUCUGAUACGUCUAUGCAUUCUACUCCACGUGCAAGGUCAUCUGCAGCUGCAUUGUGUCUCCUAAAUUACCUCAAGGAGCUCGUUUCCUAUAGUAAUCAGAUUCUGGCGGGUUCCACCAGAUCGUGCACCGUGGUCCCUAUCUUGUGUAGCAUGCAUAAACUGACUCACUGGUGAAUCGAAGACCAUCGUGCGGUUGUCUCAUAAUCGAAGACCACCGCCGUUUAUGAGAUAGCAACACGAUAGUCUUCGAUUCACCGGUGAGUCUUACUUUAUGCAUGCUCCACAGGAUAGGGACCAUUGUGUACGAUCUAGUGGAGCCCCUAGGAUCCGAUUGCAUAUAGGAGACGAGCUUCUCGAGGUCAUUCAGGAGGAUAUGAUGCAGCUGCAGAUGACCUCGCAUGUGGAGUAGGAUCUGUAGACGUAUCAGGUUUCGAGUCGUAUACUAGAUCCUAUUAUCCGCAGUCAUAGAUAGCCCAUGAUCCAUACGGAUAUGGAUAUGAUGCAUUUGAGGCAUCUUCCGGUGGCUACUACCCUACGCAGCCUGAAGCAUCUUACGGGUUGGAUGUUUUUGCCAGCUUAUUCGGAUGGGCUCCUUCAUAGCCGUUUUAUCAGCCAGAGGAUACCUCUCAGAGCCAGAGCUUUAGCAAGAGAUCCGAGAUUGCUUACAACUCGGAGCACG
Molecule: long non-coding RNA, 1649 nt
Filed under: Phoenix dactylifera (date palm)
Lineage: Eukaryota; Viridiplantae; Streptophyta; Magnoliopsida; Arecales; Arecaceae
Description: long non-coding RNA (PDAC_LNC014174)
Source: RNAcentral